Molecule: unclassified non-coding RNA, 171 nt
Filed under: soil metagenome
Description: partial internal transcribed spacer 1
Source: RNAcentral
CAGAGUUCAGUGCCCUCGCGGGUAUAUCCUCCCACCCUUGCUUAUUCAUACCUUUGUUGCUUUGGCAGGCCCUGGCUCAUGCCGGACCACCGGCUCUCUGCUGGUGCAGUGCCUGCCAGAGGAUCCUCAAACUCUAGUUAUCAGUAUUGUCUGAGUACUAUACAAUCGUUA